GCUUUUAGCUGCUACAGUCAGCUUUUUGUUAAGGUAAGCGUUAGUGAAAAUACACUACAAGAAUGACUACAGGAGACCGCAAAUGAUCAGCGGCAAAACAGAGGUGUGAUAGGACUUCUGAUCCCAAUAUACUCCAAGUCCAGGAAAGUUCCUAGAAACAGAAGAGUUUCUCUUCCCAUCAAAGACAUUUCCCUGAAUUUGAGCUGGUGAAAAUGCAUGCUGCUGGCGACUCCAGGGGACAGUGAAUGAAGAGCGGCAUCAGGAAGACAGACUGUCCUCUGUACUCCUGACUGCUUUCUUCUGAUUCUUGCAUUGACCUUUGAUCUUCAUAAACACCCUUGCACCCUCCUGCCUAUCUAAUCUAGCUGGUUAAUCCUGUUGUAGACAUCACCUGCAGGCAAGGCCAGGACACGCUACAUGAAAAUCUGCUGAAUCACCCUGAAUCGAAUAGUAAGCCGGGAUGUUCUUGUAUUGCACAACAAGGCUGUCUGCAUUGCGGUCUAUCAAACAAAGACAGUAUCGGUACCGUACAGGGCUCUCUCCUUCAGGUCCUUCCCGUAGAGGUUGUACUUUGCUGCUAUGUAGUUGCCAAUGGCUCUAGUCUGCACCAUCUUGAUCCCGUCGAUCUCCACCAUGGGCACUUGCUGAAACAGCAGGGCUCCACCUAGAAUAAAAGGGACAUGACAAACAAGACAUUCAGCCUCUGAAGGAGUACCAUCAGUGGGUAUCUGGCAAAAUGUCUUACGAUCCAUAUUAUUUUUGAUUUGAGACAGUCUUCGUCACUCUCAGAUUAUGGUAUGGAAAAAGCUUACCAUAAAAUGAAGAAGCAUUUGUGGGUGAUAGGUUAAUCUAAUAUUAUAACAAUCAGCUUCUUGAAGUUUCUUCAAAUCUGAUGAAGCACCCGAAUGCAGAAGCUUCAGGAAUCACACACUGAAAAGGACAAGUCCUGCACUGCACGGUCCUAACUCAGAUGAAUUUCCAUUGAGGUUGACACAGAUGGGAAGGACUGAAGGACCUGACCCAUCUGACCCAUCACAAACCAGUUUCUGUCAUGCUACGAUAAAUAUUAUGGAAAUAUGGACUAUUUAAAAGCUUGUCAACAUGAAUGCCAAUACAAAUGUUUAUACUUAUCUUUGUGACUACUCUACUGACUUUAACUGAUCAGAGAUGUAAGUCAGAGUAAUUACUCUAUAGGAUGACAUUUAUUGUCUUAAAUAACCUAUCGAUUAUGUCCAUCUUUGGAUCCACUGUAAGGCAAGUGUGCAUAGAAACUGUUUGCUAUUAAAGGCAUAUUUUUAUUAUUA
Long non-coding RNA from Dromaius novaehollandiae (emu), 1304 nucleotides. RefSeq lists it as uncharacterized. The transcript is spliced from 2 exons. Lineage: Eukaryota; Metazoa; Chordata; Aves; Casuariiformes; Dromaiidae. The record is from RefSeq and is a predicted model, not a curated record.